Molecule: ribosomal RNA, 461 nt
Filed under: uncultured bacterium
Lineage: Bacteria
Description: partial 16S ribosomal RNA
Rfam family: Bacterial small subunit ribosomal RNA
Source: RNAcentral
CCUACGGGUGGCAGCAGUGAGGAAUAUUGGUCAAUGGGCUUACGCCUGAACCAGCCAAGUCGCGUGAGGGAAGACUGCCCUAUGGGUUGUAAACCUCUUUUGUCAGGGAGCAACGCCGGCUACGUGUAGCCGGACUGAGAGUACCUGAAGAAAAAGCAUCGGCUAACUACGUGCCAGCAGCCGCGGUAAUACGUAGGGGGCAAGCGUUAUCCGGAAUCACUGGGUGUAAAGGGAGCGUAGACGGCUGAGCAAGCCUGAAGUGAAAGGCGGGGGCCCAACCCCCGGACUGCUUUGGGAACUGUACGGCUGGAGUGCAGGAGAGGUAAGUGGAAUUCCUAGGGUAGCGGUGAAAUGCGUAGAUAUUAGGAGGAACACCAGUGGCGAAGGCGGCUUACUGGACUGUAACUGACGUUGAGGCUCGAAAGCGUGGGGAGCAAACAGGAUUAGAUACCCUAGUAGUC